RNAcentral lists this long non-coding RNA (408 nucleotides) under Capsella rubella. Its description in RNAcentral is "long non-coding RNA (CRUB_LNC004562)". Lineage: Eukaryota; Viridiplantae; Streptophyta; Magnoliopsida; Brassicales; Brassicaceae. The record is from RNAcentral.
CGCGUUUCUAUUUAUAUAACUAAUCCACUAUUUGCCCAAUUUAGUUUUGUAAAAAAACUGUGGUUAUGAUAUAUAAAAGAUAAAAACUACAUUAUCCGAAUUCACAAAUACUUGAACACUCCUAAUAUUUUAUAUAUAUAUAACUUACAUGUUUGGCUAUGAGGUAACAGGAAGGGGUCUAAUGGGAAGAGUGGUUCCGGGAUGCGCCGAGACAUUCAUGGAAUCACCUGGGUUUGGAGAAAGUCAAGGCCAGGGUCAGGGUCAGAGUCAAGGGUUCUAUGACAUGCACCAGAAAGUAGAGCACCUACGGUGUGGUGACACCAUUGCUACACCAUCUGGUGUGGCUCAAUGGUUCUACAACAAUGGAAAUGAGCCUCUCAUUCUUGUUGCAGCUGCUGAUCUCGCCAA